AUUGAACGCUGGCGGCAGGCCUAACACAUGCCAGUCGAGCGGAUGAAGGGAGCUUGCUCCUGGAUUCAGCGGCGGACGGGUGAGUAAUGCCUAGGAAUCUGCCUGGUAGUGGGGGAUAACGUCCGGAAACGGGCGCUAAUACCGCAUACGUCCUGAGGGAGAAAGUGGGGGAUCUUCGGUCCUCACGCUAUCAGAUGAGCCUAGGUCGGAUUAGCUAGUUGGUGGGGUAAAGGCCUACCAAGGCGACGAUCCGUAACUGGUCUGAGAGGAUGAUCAGUCACACUGGAACUGAGGCACGGUCCAGACUCCUACGGGAGGCAGCAGUGGGGAAUAUUGGACAAUGGGCGAAAGCCUGAUCCAGCCAUGCCGCGUGUGUGAAGAAGGUCUUCGGAUUGUAAAGCACUUUAAGUUGGGAGGAAGGGCAGUAAGUUAAUACCUUGCUGUUUUGACGUUACCAACAGAAUAAGCACCGGCUAACUUCGUG
RNAcentral lists this ribosomal RNA (484 nucleotides) under uncultured bacterium. Its description in RNAcentral is "partial 16S ribosomal RNA". It matches the Rfam family "Bacterial small subunit ribosomal RNA", at positions 30 to 507 of the family's 1533-position model. The record is from RNAcentral.